GUACUUGCUUCAGCAGUACAUAUGCUAAAAUUGGAACAAUACGGAGAAGAUCAGCAUCACCCCUGCACAAAGAUGACACACAAAUUCAUGGAGUGUUACACACUUAA
Molecule: small nuclear RNA, 107 nt
Filed under: Carlito syrichta (Philippine tarsier)
Lineage: Eukaryota; Metazoa; Chordata; Mammalia; Primates; Tarsiidae
Source: RNAcentral